GUUAGCUCAGUUAAUAGAGCGGUCCACUGGAAAUGGAGAGGUUCCUGGUUCGAUACUAGGAC
This 62-nucleotide transfer RNA is filed under the name Ixodes scapularis (black-legged tick). It matches the Rfam family "tRNA", at positions 6 to 65 of the family's 71-position model. Rfam says of the family: Transfer RNA (tRNA) molecules are approximately 80 nucleotides in length. The record is from Rfam by way of RNAcentral. Lineage: Eukaryota; Metazoa; Arthropoda; Arachnida; Ixodida; Ixodidae.